CCUACGGGCGGCAGCAGUAGGGAAUUUUCCGCAAUGGGCGAAAGCCUGACGGAGCAAUACCGCGUGAGGGAUGACUGCCUAUGGGUUGUAAACCUCUUUUUUCAGGGAGGAAUAAAUGACGUGUACCUGAAGAAUAAGCAUCGGCUAACUCCGUGCCAGCAGCCGCGGUAAGACGGAGGAUGCAAGUGUUAUCCGGAAUCACUGGGCGUAAAGCGUCUGUAGGUGGCUCGACAAGUCAACUGUUAAAUCUUGAAGCUCAACUUCAAAAUCGCAGUCGAAACUAUCGGACUAGAGUAUAGUAGAGGUAAAGGGAAUUUCCAGUGGAGCGGUGAAAUGCGUAGAGAUUGGAAAGAACACCGAUGGCGAAGGCACUUUACUGGGCUAUUACUGACACUCAGAGACGAAAGCUAGGGUAGCAAAUGGGAUUAGAUACCCCAGUAGUC
RNAcentral lists this ribosomal RNA (443 nucleotides) under uncultured bacterium. Its description in RNAcentral is "bacterial SSU rRNA". It matches the Rfam family "Bacterial small subunit ribosomal RNA", at positions 338 to 795 of the family's 1533-position model. The record is from RNAcentral.